UCAUCUGAGAUCACCCGUGAAGUCACCCACAGGGCCCUGGCAGAGCCCCUGAAAACAACCAUGAAUCUCUCCCAAGUGCUCUGAGUUGUCCCCACCCUGAAGAUCACCACUGAAACCUCUGGGACCCAUGUACGUGUGCAAGACAGAGUGAAUGUCACCUGCCACGUCCUCCACUUCUAUCCCGCCCACCUGCAACUCACCUGGAUGGAGAACAGGCGCAUGAUCCAGACCCUGGUGUCCCCUCAGGCCACCAGAAAUCCAGAUGGGACAUACUCUCUGGAGCACACGUGGCAGGCAGAGGCCACGCUGCAGGAGCGUGAGUUUGCUUGCUGGGUUCACGAUGAGCAGCCCCCACUCAAGGCCAACGUCACCCUGCAAGCCCAGGUGCGCAGGCAGGGGAAAG
This 403-nucleotide small RNA is filed under the name Pan troglodytes (chimpanzee). Its description in RNAcentral is "processed transcript". The record is from RNAcentral. Lineage: Eukaryota; Metazoa; Chordata; Mammalia; Primates; Hominidae.